RNAcentral lists this ribosomal RNA (456 nucleotides) under uncultured bacterium. Its description in RNAcentral is "SSU rRNA". It matches the Rfam family "Bacterial small subunit ribosomal RNA", at positions 26 to 518 of the family's 1533-position model. The record is from RNAcentral.
AGGACGAACGCUGGCGGCGUGCUUAACACAUGCAAGUCGAACGCUCUUGGUUUCGGCCAAGGGAGUGGCGCACGGGUGAGUAACGCGUGGGAACCUGCCCUGGAGUGGGGGAUAACCGAGGGAAACCUCGGGGGGCUAAUACCGCAUACGACCUGAGGGUGAAAGAUUUAUCGCUCUAGGAGGGGCCCGCGUCGGAUUAGCUAGUUGGUGAGGUAACGGCCCACCAAGGCUAUGAUCCGUAGCUGGUCUGAGAGGAUGAUCAGCCACACUGGGACUGAGACACGGCCCAGACUCCUACGGGAGGCAGCAGUGGGGAAUAUUGGACAAUGGGCGCAAGCCUGAUCCAGCAAUGCCGCGUGAGUGAUGAAGGCCUUAGGGUUGUAAAGCUCUUUCACACGCGACGAUGAUGACGGUAGCGUGAGAAGAAGCCCCGGCUAACUUCGUGCCAGCAGCCGC